Molecule: long non-coding RNA, 1585 nt
Filed under: Homo sapiens (human)
Lineage: Eukaryota; Metazoa; Chordata; Mammalia; Primates; Hominidae
Description: HSALNT0159689
Source: RNAcentral
CCGCCGCUGCCGCCGCGGCUUUGCAAAGUGUCAGCGGGGGCGAAAGCGAGAGUUUAAAGGAACAGGAGGCCCAUUGAAUUUCCUACCGGAGCUUUCAGGGGCUCUGGCUCCCCAGUUUGUUUUUGUUUUUUCAGCUCGGGGAUCUGUUUCCGCGUUAACCCUUGCCGGCCCUCUCGUUAGUUGAUAUCUUAUUUUGCAUACAGUUAAUCAUUUUUGAAAGGGAUAAAUACAAGGAAAAGAAGCAAAGCGCUAUUGGUUAAAAGUACAGGAUCUAGAGCCCGGACAGCCUGGGCUGGAAUUUCACCUCCCCCGCAAUGAGCAGUUUAUCUCCUAGCCUCAGUUAUCCAUCCAUCAAAUGGAGAGAAUUAGAGUAACGCCCUUAUAAGGUGGUUGCAAUGGAUUGGAUGAGUUAACUGUAUAUUUAAUAAAUAUAGAACAUUGCCUACCGCAAAGUACAUGGCUUUGUUUAAGUGUUUACUGAAGCAAAAGUGAGAGAAGACGACUUCAAUCACAUAAUAAAUGUGCAUGUGUUCUAAGUUCAAGGUCCUUUCCACUCCAAGCUCUGAAGAGUCUAUGGAUGCUGUCAAUAGAUGUCUCGGCUUGCCACAAAACCCACUGGAAGUGGAUCCGGAUAAUCAAUCUACCUUUGCAAAUGUGAUGCUCAAAGGACGGCUCUCUCAUGGGAAACAAGAAAGGUUUCCCUUAAUCCAAUACUCAAUUUGCUCUUUAUUUCCAAACAACAGAUAUACACGUAUAAACACAAACAUAUAUCAUGCCUAUACUCUUUAUUAUGCCAGGACCCUGGCUCUUUCCUGAGCUUUCCUCCCAUAGGUUGAUUUCUACUUAGGUAACUGGGUUUUUCUAUUUCUGCUUAACUAGGAGUGUUUAAGUUCUAUGUAAUAUUACAUCCGAAUUUGAGUACCCGGAUAUAUACCUGCUUAAAAUCAAGUUUGAAAACUGAGUCUUCUCAUCAAAACCUGAUUGUGCGGUUGACCCUUGAACAACAGGGGUUUGAACUGCGAGGAUCCGCUUUUGCAUGGAUUUUCUUCCUCCUCUGCCACCCCUAACAGAGCAAGACUAACCCCUCCUCUUCCUCCGCUUCAGCCCACUCAAUGUGAAGACGAUGAGGAUGAAAGCCUUUCUGAUGAUCCACUUCCACUUAAUAAACGGACCUGUCCAAAAUUGGAACUUGGCUAACAGGAUGCUGAAGAAAACAGCAUGCUCACUUGGAAAUGAGAUUCUAUACAUGCUGUAGAAUACUUGGCAUUUAUUAUAAUCUUUUCUUAACUAUUCAGGAAAUAGUUUUUGUCCAUUUUAACAGGAUUUGUUAAAACUUUCUACAAUUGCUGUCAGAUAAAGGGAAAUUGCUAUUAGUGAAAUGCUUUUAUUCAGUCCAAAUAUUAUGACCUUUCCUCUAGGUCUCAGCAUUUCCUCUCCCUCCUCAUUUGGUAAGGCUAAUUUUUUGACCUCUGGUAUGCAAUUACAAGACUCAUUUGUUCGUCUUGGCUGAUCUGCUCUCAGAAUAAACUGUAAUUCUAUUGUACUGUUGAUGGAUAUUCCAGCUUUUUGUUCUUUAUAGUUUUAA